Molecule: long non-coding RNA, 1696 nt
Organism: Ictalurus punctatus (channel catfish)
Lineage: Eukaryota; Metazoa; Chordata; Actinopteri; Siluriformes; Ictaluridae
Source: Ensembl
CGUAGAUACAGCUGUCAGUCAUAUAUGUACAAUACAUCGUCUAUAAUCCCAAGGAGUUACGCAUAAACAAUAAACAGUAGCUACUGCCAAGAACAAGAAGGGGGAAAAGGAAACAUUAUAUAUAUAUAUAUAUAUAUAUGAGAGAGAGAGAGAGAGAAAAAUAAAGAUGAUGGAGCGAUGAUGAUGGCGCGAUGAUGGAGCGUUGAUGAUGAUGGAGCGUUGAUGAUGAUGGAGCGUUGAUGAUGAUUGGACGUUGAUGAUGAUGAUGGAGCUUUGAUGAUGAUGGAGCGUUGAUGAUGAUGAUGGAGCGUUGAUGAUGGAGCGUUGAUGAUGAUGGAGCUGUGAUGAUGAUGGAGCGUUGAUGAUGAUGAUGAUGAUGAUGAUGGAGCGUUGAUGAUGAUGAUGGAGCGUUGUUUAUGAUGAUGAUGAUGGAGCGUUGAUGAUGAUGAUGGAGCGUUGUUUAUGAUGAUGAUGAUGGAGCGUUGAUGAUGAUGAUGAUGAUGAUGAUGAUGGAGUGUUGAUGAUGAUUGAGCGUUUGAUGAUGAUGAUGAUGAUGAGCGUUGAUUGAUGAUGAUGGAGUGUUGAUGAUGAUUGAGCGUUGAUGAUGAUGAUGGAGCGUUGAUGAUGUUGAUGAUGGAGCGAUGAUGAUGGAGAGUUGAUGAAGAUGGAGCUUUGAUGAUGAUGAUGGAGCGUUGAUGAUGAUGGAGUGUUGAUGAUAAUGGAGCGUUGAUGAUGGAGCGUUGUUUAUGAUGAUGAUGAUGGAGUGUUGAUGAUGAUGGAGCGUUGAUGAUGAUAUUUAGCGUUGAUGACGAUAAUGGAGCGUUAUGAUGUUGGAGCAUUGUUCAUGAUGUUGGAGCAUUGUUCAUGAUGUUGGAGCAUUGCUGAUGGAGCAUUGCAUGGCUAGAUCUUGUGCAGGAAUCUAAAAUGAACUUCAUUUUAUUUGGUUCUAUAUGCAGUAUUUGUAAUAAUCACAGACCUUAUUUCAGGAUGAAUUUUUUUUUAUUUAUUUUUUUAACACUAUUUACUGCACUCUACUUAAUCUGUUGGUUUGGAAGAGGAAGUUGCUUAGCUGCAUUUGUGAGAAAAUCGUUUUGUUUAUUUGAGAGGCGAGAUUUCCUUUUGCAAAGCAGAUUGUGUUUGUUUGCGAGAUGGUAUAUUUAUAUUUGUUUAGCUUUGGCACAGAUCCACGGUCGUUGCCCACAGGAUAUGAUGGUCACAAGAACGUUCUGCAUUUUGGCUUUUACUGAUUAUGUAUACGUUUUCCUCUUGGUGGAAUAUGAUACGAUAUACGCCUUGUUGAUGUAACUGUAUCUCGCUGUUCUCCUUCCUGAACAAUCCCCUGCGUAAACCAGAGACUGUUUUUUUUAUUACUCGGACAAAUGUUUCGGAUACAUCACGGCGCUGUCUCAUUCUCGGUUCCGAUUGGUUGGGAGGUGUCGAUUAACAACAGUCGUUCCAGCUGCAAAUCACAGUUUGAUUUUAGCAUCCUGGUUAUCGUUUCUGUAGUCCGUUCACAGGGAUGUUUACGGAAGGAGUCUCCAGUGUCAGCACUUUGGGGCAGUCCUGGGAAAGAAGCGAGCAUAGUUCACAGGAACCAGUUUCGCAGUUAAAUAUGGCUAAAAAUUGCUGUCGUAUCCAAGACGAAUAAAAAAAUAAAAAAAACUAAGAUUUUAUUCCUUAUUUAACCCCCGUUAAA